ACAGUAGUAGUUCAGUGGUAGAAUUCUUGCCUUCCAUGUGUGAGUCCCAGGGUCGAUUCCUGGCCAGUGCA
Molecule: transfer RNA, 71 nt
Filed under: Loxodonta africana (African savanna elephant)
Lineage: Eukaryota; Metazoa; Chordata; Mammalia; Proboscidea; Elephantidae
Rfam family: tRNA
About the family: Transfer RNA (tRNA) molecules are approximately 80 nucleotides in length. Their secondary structure includes four short double-helical elements and three loops (D, anti-codon, and T loops).
Source: Rfam by way of RNAcentral